RNAcentral lists this ribosomal RNA (253 nucleotides) under uncultured bacterium. RNAcentral's name for it is "partial 16S ribosomal RNA". It matches the Rfam family "Bacterial small subunit ribosomal RNA", at positions 524 to 776 of the family's 1533-position model. The record is from RNAcentral.
GACGUAGGAUGCAAGCGUUGUCCGGAUUUAUUGGGCGUAAAGAGUUCGUAGGUGGUUCGUUAAGUCUGAUGUUAAAUAUCGGGGCUCAACCUCGGGAGUGCAUUGGAUACUGGCGGACUUGAGUGUGGUAGAGGCAAUCGGAAUUCCAGGUGUAGCGGUGAAAUGCGUAGAUAUCUGGAAGAACACCGGUGGCGCAAGCGGAUUGCUGGGCCAUAACUGACACUGAGGAACGAAAGCUAGGGGAGCAAAUGGG